RNAcentral lists this ribosomal RNA (254 nucleotides) under uncultured bacterium. RNAcentral describes it as "partial 16S ribosomal RNA". It matches the Rfam family "Bacterial small subunit ribosomal RNA", at positions 524 to 776 of the family's 1533-position model. The record is from RNAcentral.
CACGUAGGGGGCAAGCGUUGUCCGGAUUUAUUGGGCGUAAAGAGCUCGUAGGUGGUUCGGUAAGUCGGGUGUUAAACCCCCAGGCUCAACCUGGGGACGCCACUCGAUACUGCUGUGACUAGAGUCCGGUAGGGGAGCGUGGAAUUCCUGGUGUAGCGGUGAAAUGCUUAGAUAUGGCACAGAACACCGAUAGUGAAGACAGCUCACGAAGGCGAAACUGACACUGAGGCACGAAAGCGUGGGGAUCGAACAGG